This is a non-coding RNA of Punica granatum (pomegranate), 897 nucleotides long. NCBI's taxonomy places the organism in Eukaryota, Viridiplantae, Streptophyta, Magnoliopsida, Myrtales, Lythraceae. The record is from RefSeq and is a predicted model, not a curated record.
UAAAAAUGUAUUUUUUACACAAAAAUAAUGAGUCUUAUUUCUGUCUAUUCCAAUGCGUGGCCUCGCCCCUCCGAGUUUUAAUUCACUCUGCCUCCACACAUUAUGCUUCAACGAGGUACGUCUCUCUCUACGUAUCUCUGUUUCUCUAUUUUUGGUUUUUUAUGGUCUGGUGGGUUUUGCUCAUAUUUCAGUGGUGUUUUCUAUCUGAUCGGUUAACAGAGAGAGAGAGAGGAAGAAGGAGAGGAGUCAUUUAUCAGUUGGUUUCAAAUACUUUGAAAAAUCAAUGCAGGAAUCGGAGUUGGAGGAGCAAUAUCUCUUCGAAGCCCAACCUCUGUGCUUAGUUAUGAUUGACCGUCGAACUCUGUGGAGUUCACAUUGAUUGUUUCCUGCCAAAUUAAGCCGAAUCAAGGUACAAAUGAUUGAACUGAACAUAGUACCGGAAGUCGGGGAAGUCGUGGAGGAAGAAGAUGGAGUCGGGGCGCAGAAGCCGGCCUUCCUCUUCCCUCGUAUCCCACACCAAUAUUCACUGACACCAUUUUGAAGAAGAGAAAUCAGGAUUCUCGAAGUCAAUGGUAUAGAAAAUAGAAGAGAAGAAGAAGAUGAAUACGUUGGGAUGAUGUGUGGGGCUCUAACCUCUGGUACUUGCAGAGCUAUUGGCUUUAAUCAUCAUUACUUUUUUCGAUAUAAACCAUGGUAUUCCAAAGUUCAGUUGGGUUCCGACUAAUCCAGUCGAGCCGGGUCGGCUCACUAAGUAGUAAAGCUCUCCCAGCGUGAAUCUUUUGCAUUCAUAAUGACUCGAAUCUGAGACAUUACUUAAGCGCAACAAGUACUGAAUCGCUUGAACCAACAUACAUUGGUCUUUAAUUAUCAUUAUGGUUAUUAUUGCGUUUUCGUCAA